ACUGCUGCCUCCCGUAGGAGUAGGGGGAAUCUUCCACAAUGGACGCAAGUCUGAUGGAGCAACGCCGCGUGAGUGAAGAAGGCUUUCGGGUCGUAAAACUCUGUUGUUGGAGAAGAAUGGUCGGCAGAGUAACUGUUGUCGGCNNGACGGUAUCCAACCAGAAAGCCACGGNUAACUACNUGCCAGCAGCCGCGGUAAUAC
This 201-nucleotide ribosomal RNA is filed under the name Lactobacillus sp. L42. RNAcentral describes it as "partial 16S ribosomal RNA". It matches the Rfam family "Bacterial small subunit ribosomal RNA", at positions 328 to 526 of the family's 1533-position model. The record is from RNAcentral. Lineage: Bacteria; Bacillati; Bacillota; Bacilli; Lactobacillales; Lactobacillaceae.